CGGUGUGCUGACGUCUUAGCUGAGAAUGCAACAGAUGGACACUGGGUGUUUGCCAAGGCUGUCUUCAAAAGCACGGUGACAGGGACAGUCAAACUGUCCCAGCAGACUUUUCUGGAUGGCAGCUACAGUGACAUCACUCUGGAGGUGGACGUGCGGUCAUCACAGGUGCUAGACGUAACAGAGGUUUCCUGGAUCAUCACUGGUAAAGGCUCUGAGGUGAACGACAACCAGUGUACCAGUGUUGGGGACACGUUUAACCCCUUCAACAUGGAAGCUGGGGUGAGUUUAUUCUCUCAUUUUCACUUACAAUACAUCAUGGCCAUUCUUCAUGAAGUGUCUAGGAUAGAUCAGCAUUCCUACUCUGAGACACUUUAUGAAUAAGGGCCCAGUACCUAGCCAUCAUAGGAGAAUUUCCCCCACUGUGUAGUCCACUGUGUAGUCCACUGUGUAGCGCUGAUCUCUGCUUUAUUUCAACUUUAAAGUUCCACUUGAUCAACAAGUCUUAUGGAAUCCAAUAGAACUGUGUUUGAUAUUCCAUCGAAUCUUUGUCUUUGACAAUGUCACAGUUGUUGGGUUUUGAGUUUGCAAGAAAGGCAUUUCACUGUACUUAUGCAUGUGACAUUAAAACUUGCAACUACACCACAACCACAACCAUAUACUUCACAUCGUUUUCAUAACCAGAAGUGGAAGUGUUUGUUGGAAUUGGUUUCAAUAGAAUUAGAAUGAGUAGAACAGUCAUGGAACCUCUGACCCAGCCCUAUUGACUUGAAUGGGGACGUCCCUUCUAGUAAUUCUAUUUCUAUGGUUGGUUCCGUCCUCUGCUCUGUUCUGUCCUC
Molecule: long non-coding RNA, 836 nt
Filed under: Salmo salar (Atlantic salmon)
Lineage: Eukaryota; Metazoa; Chordata; Actinopteri; Salmoniformes; Salmonidae
Description: lncRNA (ENSSSAG00000094099.1)
Source: RNAcentral